Molecule: long non-coding RNA, 805 nt
Organism: Beta vulgaris subsp. vulgaris (sugar beet)
Lineage: Eukaryota; Viridiplantae; Streptophyta; Magnoliopsida; Caryophyllales; Amaranthaceae
Exons: 2
Source: RefSeq, a predicted model, not a curated record
UCUUGUUUGAUUCGUCUCAAUGAGUACUUUAUUAAUAUUCAAUUAUUAUAAUUUUUAUUAAUAUGUAGUGAAAGAUAUUUAAUAAUAAUAAUUUUUAAAUAUAAGCAUGAUAUGAUCUGAACUGAUCUGAUCUGAUCUGGCUGAUCUGAUCUGAUCUGAUCUGAUCUGAUCUGAUCUGAACUUAUUUUUUCUGAUCUGAUCUGAUCUGAACUUAUUUUUUCUGAUCUGAUCUGAUCUGAUCUGAUCUGAUCUGAUUAGAUCUGAAAUAAGCAAAAAUAAGGUGAACUGAACAUAGCCCUAGAAGGGGACUUAAGGGUACAGUUGUACCCCCAAAUUAAAAAAAAAAAUCAGUUAAAAAAACUUUAAAAAAUAAAAAAAUUCAUGCAAGGCAAGCAGGCACGCGUUUCAUUUUUUCUCUCAGACUCCUCUCUCUUCAGUCUCGUUUCUCUCUCCUCUCUCUCACACCUGAUACCAGCGAUUCAGCGAAGUACGAACGACCAAUACCGAGAAUCGACUUUCGACGAAACCAGUGAGGGGCGCCUACGCUUGAGAUUCGACUUCGCCAAAUCGCCAGACGCCGGUUCGACUUCUUCGGCUUCUCGAAUCGUGACCCAUACAUCAAUCCGAAGCUUGAUGAAGAUAUCAUUGCUCGAUUUCAAAUUAUGAAGGCUCGUAGGAUGCAAUUGUAAUUUUAGUUUGAAGUUCAAUCUUAUGCAUUUUUUUAACAAAAUUGGUUGUAUGACUAUGGAUAUUUUAGUUGUAAGACUUAUGUAUUGAAUAAUUUUAAUGAAACUUUUUUCUACUA